GAAGGGACCUAGCGUAGUUCGGAAUUACUGGGCUUAAAGAGUUCGUAGGUGGUUAAAAAAGUUGGUGGUGAAAUCCCAGAGCUUAACUCUGGAACUGCCAUCAAAACUUUUUAGCUAGAGUAUGAUAGAGGAAAGCAGAAUUUCUAGUGUAGAGGUGAAAUUCGUAGAUAUUAGAAAGAAUACCGAUUGCGAAGGCAGCUUUCUGGAUCAUUACUGACACUGAGGAACGAAAGCAUGGGUAGCGAAGAGGAUUAGAUACCCUCGUAGUCCAUGCCGUAAACGAUGUGUGUUAGACGUUGGAAAUUUAUUUUCAGUGUCGCAGCGAAAGCAAUAAACACACCGCCUGGGGAGUACGACCGCAAGGUUAAAACUCAAAUGAAUUGACGGGGACCCGCACAAGUAGUGGAGCAUGUGGUUUAAUUCGAAGAUACGCGCAGAACCUUACCAACACUUGACAUGUUCGUCGCGACUUUAAGAGAUUAAAGUUUUCGGUUCGGCCGGACGAAACACAGGUGCUGCAUGGCUGUCGUCAGCUCGUGUCGUGAGAUGUUGGGUUAAGUCCCGCAACGAGCGCAACCCUCACUUUUAGUUGCCAUCAUUUAGUUGGGCACUCUGAAAGAACUGCCAGUGAUAAGCUGGAGGAAGGUGGGGAUGACGUCAAGUCCUCAUGGCCCUUAUGUGUUGGGCUACACACGUGCUACAAUGGUAUCUACAACAGGAAGCAAGAUGGCAACAUUUAGCAAAUCCUAAAAAGAUAUCUCAGUUCGGAUUGCACUCUGCAACUCGAGUGCAUGAAGCUGGAAUUACUAGUAAUCGUGGAUCAGCGUGCCACGGUGAAUACGUUCCCGGGUCUU
RNAcentral lists this ribosomal RNA (854 nucleotides) under uncultured organism. RNAcentral describes it as "bacterial SSU rRNA". It matches the Rfam family "Bacterial small subunit ribosomal RNA", at positions 527 to 1382 of the family's 1533-position model. The record is from RNAcentral.